UUUCCCCACUCCGCCCCUGUUAGCACCUCUAGUAACAUAUGUACUGAGAAAAAUGGUGACGUGUUCAAUACUUAUUUUACCCGCUGUAUCUUGUAAAAACGAGAAAACAAUCUUGUUAUAUCAAGAUAACCAUCUCGUUACAACAUAUUAUGGUUUCUUCUGGUUUGGCACUUUCACAGAAGUUUAUUGCCUGGAUGGCGUCAUGGAGAACCCGACUGAGUCUCAAUAUAUGCCUUUUUAUGAAGAAGAAAUCUGAAAGAGGAACACAUUUCUAGACUAAAAAAAUGACAAGUUAGUACUGAAUAAUGUUUUCGAAAUAAUAGGGGCCAAAUUCAGAUUAGAGAGUGAAUAUUAUUAAGUGCUACUAGCUGCAACAUCUGAGCACAAACUCAAAUAAUUCUGUUCGUUUUUUUUUAUAUAGUGGUUCAGUUGUGUUCUCCAUCACGCCAUCCAGGCAAUAAACUUCUGUGAAGAUAGUUUUUUCGUUAUAARGAGAUAGUUUUCUCAUAAUGAGAUCCAGUUUCAAAAUAAUUUCAUGUCAUGCGGCAGCUCUAUGCUUCCGUACUCAGGCAAGGUUUGUAAAAUGUUAUUUAUUUUUGCGUGGGGGUGAAUUGUUUUAGAGCUUAAGGGGUUGUGGUGGUGAAAGUUCUGUUUUUCUGUAAUCCACUGAGGUGAAAUUCAGUUGUGAUCUGUUAAAAUGUCUCUCAAGAAACAAAAGCUUUACAUGAGUAAAUUUUCUAUCUGCAGGGUCCUGUUUACCAAUUGAUGUGCCACAUGAGGAUCUUAUCAAAAGGAAGUUGAUCUGCAAGACGUUCUGUCGCCCAAUGAUGUUGCUCCAAGAAWUGUUAUGGCAUUUCUCCAGUCAUUGGAUACCAGGAUGAUCCAGCAAGCUAAGGAAGGUAAGAAACCUGUUAACUCACUUGUGGGGAAAAGGCAAAAACUUUAUUGGGUUAUAUUUUAGUUGUUUAAAAUCUACCCAUUAUGCAAAGCUUAAACUGACUAUACCAUUAAACCUAGUGUACCUGGAAACAAAUGGAGACUAUUUGCGAUGAUGGUCACAGCAACAUGACUGCCGGCGACUACAAUUUCUCUAGUUGAAUAUAAUUUUUAAACAAAGUUGCUGUCACAUAGAGUUUAGAUCAGGAC
Molecule: long non-coding RNA, 1146 nt
Organism: Austrofundulus limnaeus
Lineage: Eukaryota; Metazoa; Chordata; Actinopteri; Cyprinodontiformes; Rivulidae
Exons: 2
Source: RefSeq, a predicted model, not a curated record